GACGAACGCUGGCGGCGUGCUUAACACAUGCAAGUCGAACGGAAAGGCCCUGCUUUUGUGGGGUGCUCGAGUGGCGAACGGGUGAGUAACACGUGAGUAACCUGCCCUUGACUUUGGGAUAACUUCAGGAAACUGGGGCUAAUACCGGAUAGGAGCUCCUGCUGCAUGGUGGGGGUUGGAAAGUUUCGGCGGUUGGGGAUGGACUCGCGGCUUAUCAGCUUGUUGGUGGGGUAGUGGCUUACCAAGGCUUUGACGGGUAGCCGGCCUGAGAGGGUGACCGGCCACAUUGGGACUGAGAUACGGCCCAGACUCCUACGGGAGGCAGCAGUGGGGAAUAUUGCACAAUGGGCGGAAGCCUGAUGCAGCAACGCCGCGUGCGGGAUGACGGCCUUCGGGUUGUAAACCGCUUUCGCCUGUGACGAAGCGUGAGUGACGGUAAUGGGUAAAGAAGCACCGGCUAACUACGUGCCAGCAGCCGCGGUGAUACGUAGGGUGCGAGCGUUGUCCGGAUUUAUUGGGCGUAAAGGGCUCGUAGGUGGUUGAUCGCGUCGGAAGUGUAAUCUUGGGGCUUAACCCUGAGCGUGCUUUCGAUACGGGUUGACUUGAAGAAAGGUAGGGGAGAAUGGAAUCCUGGUGGAGCGGUGGAAUGCGCAGAUAUCAGGAGGAACACCAGUGGCGAAGGCGGUUCUCUGGGCCUUUCCUGACGCUGAGGAGCGAAAGCGUGGGGAGCGAACAGGCUUAGAUACCCUGGUAGUCCACGCUGUAAACGGUGGGUACUAGGUGUGGGGUCCAUUCCACGGGUUCCGUGCCGUAGCUAACGCUUUAAGUACCCCGCCUGGGGAGUACGGCCGCAAGGCUAAAACUCAAAGGAAUUGACGGGGCCCCGCACAAGCGGCGGAGCAUGCGGAUUAAUUCGAUGCAACGCGUAGAACCUUACCUGGGUUUGACAUGGAUCGGGAGCGCUCAGAGAUGGGUGUGCCUCUUUUGGGGUCGGUUCACAGGUGGUGCAUGGCUGUCGUCAGCUCGUGUCGUGAGAUGUUGGGUUAAGUCCCGCAACGAGCGCAACCCUUGUUCACUGUUGCCAGCACGUUAUGGUGGGGACUCAGUGGAGACCGCCGGGGUCAACUCGGAGGAAGGUGGGGAUGACGUCAAGUCAUCAUGCCCCUUAUGUCCAGGGCUUCACGCAUGCUACAAUGGCUGGUACAGAGAGUGGCGAGCCUGUGAGGGUGAGCGAAUCUCGGAAAGCCGGUCUCAGUUCGGAUUGGGGUCUGCAACUCGACCUCAUGAAGUCGGAGUCGCUAGUAAUCGCAGAUCAGCAACGCUGCGGUGAAUACGUUCCCGGG
Molecule: ribosomal RNA, 1343 nt
Filed under: uncultured bacterium
Lineage: Bacteria
Description: 16S ribosomal RNA
Rfam family: Bacterial small subunit ribosomal RNA
Source: RNAcentral